CCUACGGGUGGCAGCAGUAGGGGAUCUUUCACAAUGGGGGAAACCCUGAUGCAGCGACGCCGCGUGGGUGAAGAAGCGCCUCGGCGCGUAAAGCCCUGUCAGCAGGGAAGAAAAUGACGGUAACUGACGAAGAAGCCCCGGCUAACUACGUGCCAGCAGCCGCGGUCAUACGUAGGGGGCGAGCGUUAUCCGGAUUGACUGGGUGGAAAGAGGGCGCAGGUGGUGAUGCAAAACAGAGGUGAAAGCCCGGGGCCCAACCCCGGGACUGGUUUUGAAACUGAGUGGCUUGAGUGCAGGAGGGGAAGGUGGAAUUCCUGGUGUAGCGGUGAAAUGCGUAGAUAUCAGGAGGAACACCAGUGGCGAAGGCGGCCUGCUGGACUGCAACUGACGUUGAGGCGCGAAAGCGUGGGGAGCAAACAGGAUUAGAUACCCGUGUAGUC
Molecule: ribosomal RNA, 440 nt
Filed under: uncultured bacterium
Lineage: Bacteria
Description: partial 16S ribosomal RNA
Rfam family: Bacterial small subunit ribosomal RNA
Source: RNAcentral